Molecule: ribosomal RNA, 472 nt
Filed under: uncultured organism
Description: bacterial SSU rRNA
Rfam family: Bacterial small subunit ribosomal RNA
Source: RNAcentral
UGCAGUCGACGGUAACAGUCUCUUCGGAGAGCUGACGAGUGGCGCACGGGUGCGUAACGCGUAUGCAACCUACCUCUAACUGGAGAAUAGCCCGGGGAAACUCGGAUUAAUACUCCAUAGUAUCAAGAUUUCACCUGAUAUCUUGAUUAAAGUUCUGGCGGUUAGAGAUGGGCAUGCGUCCUAUUAGUUAGUUGGCGAGGUAACGGCUCACCAAGACAGCGAUAGGUAGGGGGUCUGAGAGGAUGAUCCCCCACACUGGUACUGAGACACGGACCAGACUCCUACGGGAGGCAGCAGUGAGGAAUAUUGGGCAAUGGACGAAAGUCUGACCCAGCCAUGCCGCGUGCAGGAUGACGGCCCUAUGGGUUGUAAACUGCUUUUAUAUGGGAAGAAACCCCUCUACGUGUAGAGGGCUGACGGUACCAUACGAAUAAGCAUCGGCUAACUCCGUGCCAGCAGCCGCGGUAAUACG